UGCCCAGCAUCAGCCUGUCACCAAAGAAGU
RNAcentral lists this non-coding RNA (30 nucleotides) under Rattus norvegicus (Norway rat). Lineage: Eukaryota; Metazoa; Chordata; Mammalia; Rodentia; Muridae. The record is from RNAcentral.